AUGAAGCUUCAAGCCAUGAGCCUUAGCAACUUCACCAACCUUGUCAGUGUAUUCCACGUACUAACAAACAGAGCAACUCACUCACUUUCCAUGGGUGUUCUCCAAGCAGAUGAGCCUGGUGGUGGGGUAGUAGAGCGCCCCGUCCGUGCUCCGGAUGGCGGCGACGAUCCUGUCGACGUCCAUGGUGCCGUCGGGGUUGUUGGGGACGGUCCGGGGGUGGACGCCGCCGAGGGUGGAGAUGCCGCCGUGCUCGUAGACGUGGAUGUGGGAGUCGUGGCCGAGGAUGACCUCGCUGCCCCUGGCGUCGCAGUGCGCGAGGACGGAGAUGAGGUUGGCCAUGGUGCCCGAGGGGACGAACAGCGCGGCCUCCUUGCCCAUGAUCCGCGCCAUCUCCGCCUCGAAGCGGCAGGCCGUCGGGUCGGCGCCCAGCACGUCGUCGUCCACGUCCGCCGCGGCCAUGGCGGCCCGCAUGGCCUCCGACGGCUUGGUCACCGUGUCUGA
RNAcentral lists this ribosomal RNA (501 nucleotides) under Triticum aestivum (bread wheat). Its description in RNAcentral is "partial small subunit ribosomal RNA". Lineage: Eukaryota; Viridiplantae; Streptophyta; Magnoliopsida; Poales; Poaceae. The record is from RNAcentral.